This 487-nucleotide ribosomal RNA is filed under the name Escherichia coli. RNAcentral's name for it is "bacterial SSU rRNA". It matches the Rfam family "Bacterial small subunit ribosomal RNA", at positions 1035 to 1522 of the family's 1533-position model. Lineage: Bacteria; Pseudomonadati; Pseudomonadota; Gammaproteobacteria; Enterobacterales; Enterobacteriaceae. The record is from RNAcentral. RNAcentral also lists the same sequence under 1 other name.
CAGGUGCUGCAUGGCUGUCGUCAGCUCGUGUUGUGAAAUGUUGGGUUAAGUCCCGCAACGAGCGCAACCCUUAUCCUUUGUUGCCAGCGGUCCGGCCGGGAACUCAAAGGAGACUGCCAGUGAUAAACUGGAGGAAGGUGGGGAUGACGUCAAGUCAUCAUGGCCCUUACGACCAGGGCUACACACGUGCUACAAUGGCGCAUACAAAGAGAAGCGACCUCGCGAGAGCAAGCGGACCUCAUAAAGUGCGUCGUAGUCCGGAUUGGAGUCUGCAACUCGACUCCAUGAAGUCGGAAUCGCUAGUAAUCGUGGAUCAGAAUGCCACGGUGAAUACGUUCCCGGGCCUUGUACACACCGCCCGUCACACCAUGGGAGUGGGUUGCAAAAGAAGUAGGUAGCUUAACCUUCGGGAGGGCGCUUACCACUUUGUGAUUCAUGACUGGGGUGAAGUCGUAACAAGGUAACCGUAGGGGAACCUGCGGUUGGA